CCUGUGUGAAGCACCUCUUCUAUGCAGCUGGGGCUUUCCGCAGCCUUCCCUUGGGAAGUCAUGUCAAGAAGGUUAUUCAUGACAGAUCUGACGGCCUUUCUCCUGCCUUGCCCUCUUGGCGAGAGUUAAACAUGAGUCUUCUCUUCUUCAAAUCCUUUUCUGGUGAUGGCUUUUACUGUGGUAUUGGCUGUCAUUAUGAUGCUCCAGGCUCUUGUAGUGUAGACGACUGUUGAUAUCCCCAACAAAGGUACAAGAAAUGUGGAACGGCCCCAUCAAGAACUUCUAAUUUUGAUAAAUUAAUCGUCUUCCUGUAGAGUGACCGAUUACAGGAGAUGCCGUGAAGCGUGCUUGCACAUUUCAGAAUGCUCCAAAUUCAUUAGCUAUUCCACUUGAGUUAUGAGUUAGUGAGCCACACGAAGAAAAUGUGUUUGGAAUAACUCUUUGCAGCUCUAGUGUUUUUAAAUAGGCAGCUAACA
This is a long non-coding RNA of Gallus gallus (chicken), 476 nucleotides long. RefSeq lists it as uncharacterized. The transcript is spliced from 3 exons. The record is from RefSeq and is a predicted model, not a curated record. Lineage: Eukaryota; Metazoa; Chordata; Aves; Galliformes; Phasianidae.